GCCUGUUUAGCUCAGUUGGUUAGAGCAUCUGACUGUUAAUCAGGGGGUCGUAGGUUCGAGUCCUACAACAGGCG
Molecule: transfer RNA, 74 nt
Filed under: Kandleria vitulina
Lineage: Bacteria; Bacillati; Bacillota; Erysipelotrichia; Erysipelotrichales; Coprobacillaceae
Also listed under: 1 other name
Description: tRNA_Asn_GTT
Rfam family: tRNA
About the family: Transfer RNA (tRNA) molecules are approximately 80 nucleotides in length. Their secondary structure includes four short double-helical elements and three loops (D, anti-codon, and T loops).
Source: RNAcentral